Molecule: ribosomal RNA, 492 nt
Filed under: uncultured bacterium
Lineage: Bacteria
Description: partial 16S ribosomal RNA
Rfam family: Bacterial small subunit ribosomal RNA
Source: RNAcentral
AGUGAACGCUGGCGGUAGGCCUAACACAUGCAAGUCGAACGGCAGCACAGUAAGAGCUUGCUCUUACGGGUGGCGAGUGGCGGACGGGUGAGGAAUACAUCGGAAUCUACUUUUUCGUGGGGGAUAACGUAGGGAAACUUACGCUAAUACCGCAUGCGACCUACGGGUGAAAGUAGGGGAUCUUCGGACCUUGCGCGAUUGAAUGAGCCGAUGUCGGAUUAGCUAGUUGGCGGGGUAAAGGCCCACCAAGGCGACGAUCCGUAGCUGGUCUGAGAGGAUGAUCAGCCACACUGGAACUGAGACACGGUCCAGACUCCUACGGGAGGCAGCAGUGGGGAAUAUUGGACAAUGGGCGCAAGCCUGAUCCAGCCAUACCGCGUGGGUGAAGAAGGCCUUCGGGUUGUAAAGCCCUUUUGUUGGGAAAGAAAAGCAGCAGGUUAAUACCCCGCUGUUCUGACGGUACCCAAAGAAUAAGCACCGGCUAACUUCGUG